GUGGGGAAUAUUGCGCAAUGGGGGAAACCCUGACGCAGCAACGCCGCGUGGGUGAAGAAGGCCUUCGGGUUGUAAAGCCCUUUCGGCCGGGAAGAAGGGUGUAUUGGCUAAUAUCCAAUGCAUUUGAUGGUACCGGAGGAAGAAGCACCGGCAAACUUCGUGCCAGCAGCCGCGGUAAUACGAAGGGUGCGAGCGUUGUUCGGAAUUAUUGGGCGUAAAGGGUUCGUAGGCGGGAGUGUAAGUUGAGUGUGAAAACCCUAGGCUUAACCUGGGACGUGCACUCAAAACUGCGCAUCUUGAGUUCUGGAGAGGGUGGUGGAAUUGCUGGUGUAGGAGUGACAUCCGUAGAGAUCAGCAGGAACGCCGGAGGCGAAAGCGACCGCCUGGCCAGAUACUGACGCUGAGGAACGAAAGCGUGGGGAGCAAACAGGAUUAGAUACCCGGGUAGUCC
This 451-nucleotide ribosomal RNA is filed under the name uncultured bacterium. RNAcentral's name for it is "bacterial SSU rRNA". It matches the Rfam family "Bacterial small subunit ribosomal RNA", at positions 354 to 796 of the family's 1533-position model. The record is from RNAcentral.